CUCUCUCUCUCUCUUGCGCAUUCUCUCCUUUUGUUUGUUUAGUCUUUUGGGAAAAGCAAAGAAAAGAGAACAAAAAGGAAGUAAAGAACAAUUCUAAAUGGACCCAUCUCCUUUUCUUUCCCACUUAUCAUUUCUGUGAAUACUUUCUGAAGCAGGAAAGAACUGUUAUGAAGAAGAUGAGUAUCAGGAUUGUCCAGACCUUUAGGUGAUCUUGAUAGCAGUGUUUGAGGUUGGGAUGCCUCCAUUUUGUGGACUGCUGUGUUCCAGUCCUUUAUUAUAUUAUCUUGAGAAUGAUAUUUAUAUUUCUGUUGGUGUGUAUUAACUAUACUCUAGUUAUUUUGGCUUGUAAAUUAUAUGUGCCUUGUAUGGCACAAAUACUAUCUUAUGUGUAAUUAUUCAGUUACACUUUAUAUAUCUAUUUUGAGGUAUUUCAGUUAGAA
Alnus glutinosa is the source of this 440-nucleotide long non-coding RNA. RefSeq lists it as uncharacterized. Lineage: Eukaryota; Viridiplantae; Streptophyta; Magnoliopsida; Fagales; Betulaceae. The transcript is spliced from 3 exons. The record is from RefSeq and is a predicted model, not a curated record.